Molecule: ribosomal RNA, 221 nt
Filed under: uncultured bacterium
Lineage: Bacteria
Description: partial 16S ribosomal RNA
Rfam family: Bacterial small subunit ribosomal RNA
Source: RNAcentral
UAAUAUAUCGGAACGUACCCAAGAGUGGGGAUAACGUAGCGAAAGUUACGCUAAUACCGCAUACGAUCUAUGGAUGAAAGUGGGGGAUUCGCAAGAACCUCACGCUCCUGGAGCGGCCGAUAUCUGAUUAGCUAGUUGGUGGGGUAAAAGCCUACCAAGGCGACGAUCAGUAGCUGGUCUGAGAGGACGACCAGCCACACUGGGACUGAGACACGGCCCAG